RNAcentral lists this ribosomal RNA (461 nucleotides) under Bacillus sp. 055-2.2-CV-H26(h)-01. RNAcentral's name for it is "bacterial SSU rRNA". It matches the Rfam family "Bacterial small subunit ribosomal RNA", at positions 57 to 501 of the family's 1533-position model. The record is from RNAcentral. Lineage: Bacteria; Bacillati; Bacillota; Bacilli; Caryophanales; Bacillaceae.
GCAAGUCGAGCGAAUCGAUGGGAGCUUGCUCCCUGAGAUUAGCGGCGGACGGGUGAGUAACACGUGGGCAACCUGCCUAUAAGACUGGGAUAACUUCGGGAAACCGGAGCUAAUACCGGAUACGUUCUUUUCUCGCAUGAGAGAAGAUGGAAAGACGGUUUCGGCUGUCACUUAUAGAUGGGCCCGCGGCGCAUUAGCUAGUUGGUGAGGUAAUGGCUCACCAAGGCGACGAUGCGUAGCCGACCUGAGAGGGUGAUCGGCCACACUGGGACUGAGACACGGCCCAGACUCCUACGGGAGGCAGCAGUAGGGAAUCUUCCGCAAUGGACGAAAGUCUGACGGAGCAACGCCGCGUGAACGAAGAAGGCCUUCGGGUCGUAAAGUUCUGUUGUUAGGGAAGAACAAGUACCAGAGUAACUGCUGGUACCUUGACGGUACCUAACCAGAAAGCCACGGCUAAC